RNAcentral lists this long non-coding RNA (1636 nucleotides) under Numida meleagris (helmeted guineafowl). RNAcentral describes it as "lncRNA (ENSNMEG00000018994.1)". The record is from RNAcentral. Lineage: Eukaryota; Metazoa; Chordata; Aves; Galliformes; Numididae.
CAGCUCUCGAGCUGUGAUUUGUAAAUCCCAGGAAAUGCUUAAUCACUAAAAUCCCAUCUAGUGCUUAGCAUCUCUUCUGUUCCCUCUUGGCCUCUAACAAGAAAGUAUUGCUCACUUGCCUCCUUUUUCCUUCCCAGCUUCUCAGGAUAGUAAAGAGCAGAAGGCCAAGCUUUCCGUGCCCAGGAAGAUAACGGUCUAUAUGAGAAUCAGUGCUUAUUGUGAGAGCUUCCCCCGCAGAGAAGGGAAAGGUCAUGCUACUGCCCUCUUGAUGUAGUUAUUCUGGAUGAGGAAUGUAAAAUCCCACCAGUUAGCCUGUAGCUCUAAAUCAUUUAUAAGGCCGCCAAUUGAUGGGGUUAAUCAAGUUAGAAAUAGGAGUGUUCUUGAAUUCAGCCAUCUUUUUCUGAUAGCUAGUGCUGAAAGCAAGUAGAAGAGCUUGGUUUAACACAGAAGAGGUGUAAUAGUGAGGUGCAGAGCAGACAGAGCCAGUAAUCUCACACUUGUUACAUGUUUGGAGCAAACAAAGCAACAGAUGAAGUUUCCCUAGACAGACUGCUGCAUUUUAGAUAGUAAAUGGAACUGUGCAAGAUAAUAGGAGUUCUGGUCUGUGCAGAUUAAGCACAAGAUUAAUGCUCCUCGUAGGUCUCACACCUAGCUUUGAAAAUUUUAGCCAAGAAUAGUAGUAUAUCCAAUCACAAACAAAAGUUUUGGGGGAAAAAAAGUCAGGCCCUCUGACCUUUCGUAUCUAAGAAAAAUAAGUACACGUUUGUCUUUUUUUUGUUGUUGCUUCCUCUGAGGUUCAUUCCAAAUUUAUGUUCUCCUAUUUGCACACAAGUGCUGGAGAGCCACAAGUGCUUCAUUUUACUGUAAAUGAACGCUAAUUUUCCUUCAUAAUUCCUUGCUUCCCAGAGGUGGACCUUUUAAGACAGAUAUUCCAGACUAGGGAAGAUGGCAUUUACCUCACACUACUGUUCCAGUACGCGUGAUUUAUGCUGUCACAAUACAGCUCUGCAGAUUAGGGAGUGGAAAGAAGUCUUUAGCAACAGCCGAAGAGGCUUCAGAAAUAUGCAAUUGGCAGAAGUGCAGAAACCAUUCCUGAUAAAAUAGUGUCUGGGCUUGUGGCAUUUAACAUGACAAGCAAAACAGUGUUUCUAUCAAGAAAAGAUUUCAUUACAGAAUACUGUUAAAGUCUUGGAAAUGUUUAUAAGGUAUGUUUUAACUUCAUUUUGCACUUAAUGUUAUCUUCCCCUGUAGAAAACUUGAAUUGCGAGGUACGAAAUCCAAGGAUAUUUAGGAAUAUGAAUAGAGUACUCUAGAAGUGAAAUGUUUGAUUUAUCUUUUCAUACUCCUAUAGGUUAUAGCAGUGUCCUAUCUCACAGUAAAUAUUGAGUACGUCAAGUGUAAAGGACAGGCUUUCUGCUAAGAAGCAGCGGCUAUAAUAGAAGAGACGCUUAAGAGUAUCAAGUUGCAGUGAAAAAUAACUUAUUCUCAUUGCAGUAUACUUCCAUGAACACAGAAAAUAUACACUGAGAAACAAAUUAUAGAUUUAUAAAUGGGCUUUGUGCUUUGGACAUUUGUCUUCCCCUAACAAUCAUCUGAGAAAUCUGAGCAGGGGUUGAAAUGCAGUAUUUUGUCAAAG